RNAcentral lists this ribosomal RNA (492 nucleotides) under uncultured bacterium. Its description in RNAcentral is "partial 16S ribosomal RNA". It matches the Rfam family "Bacterial small subunit ribosomal RNA", at positions 29 to 507 of the family's 1533-position model. The record is from RNAcentral.
AGUGAACGCUGGCGGUAGGCCUAACACAUGCAAGUCGAACGGCAGCACAGUAAGAGCUUGCUCUUACGGGUGGCGAGUGGCGGACGAGUGAGGAAUACAUCGGAAUCUACUUUUUCGUGGGGGAUAACGUAGGGAAACUUACGCUAAUACCGCAUACGACCUACGGGUGAAAGCAGGGGAUCUUCGGACCUUGCGCGAUUGAAUGAGCCGAUGUCGGAUUAGCUAGUUGGCGGGGUAAAGGCCCACCAAGGCGACGAUCCGUAGCUGGUCUGAGAGGAUGAUCAGACACACUGGAACUGAGACACGGUCCAGACUCCUACGGGAGGCAGCAGUGGGGAAUAUUGGACAAUGGGCGCAAGCCUGAUCCAGCCAUACCGCGUGGGUGAAGAAGGCCUUCGGGUUGUAAAGCCCUUUUGUUGGGAAAGAAAAGCAGCAGGUUAAUACCCCGCUGUUCUGACGGUACCCAAAGAAUAAGCACCGGCUAACUUCGUG